This 304-nucleotide unclassified non-coding RNA is filed under the name plant metagenome. RNAcentral describes it as "partial contains 5.8S ribosomal RNA, internal transcribed spacer 2, and large subunit ribosomal RNA". The stretch from base 1 to 104 matches the Rfam family "5.8S ribosomal RNA", at positions 51 to 154 of the family's 154-position model. The record is from RNAcentral.
AAAUGCGAUAAGUAAUGUGAAUUGCAGAAUUCAGUGAAUCAUCGAAUCUUUGAACGCACAUUGCGCCCGCCAGUAUUCUGGCGGGCAUGCCUGUUCGAGCGUCAUUUCAACCAUCAAGCCCCCGGCCUGUGUUGGGGACCUGCGGCUACCCACAGGCCCUGAAAAACAGUGGCGGGCUCGCUGUCACACCGAGCGUAGUAGCAUACAUUCUCGCUCAGGGCGUGCUGCGGGUUCCGGCCGUUAAACGACCUUCAUAACCCAAGGUUGACCUCGGAUCAGGUAGGAAGACCCGCUGAACUUAAGC